Long non-coding RNA from Mus musculus (house mouse), 3250 nucleotides. RefSeq annotates it as predicted gene, 51551. The record is from RefSeq and is a predicted model, not a curated record. Lineage: Eukaryota; Metazoa; Chordata; Mammalia; Rodentia; Muridae. The transcript is spliced from 3 exons.
AUAACACCUACACAAGAAAACAACCGUCAUUAGAAAGCCAACCACUAAACCCACCUAAAGGCUGGGACAAUAUAAGCACUAAAACCUAUUGAAGUGAACAAAUAUAAGGAGCUGGCAUUUCUUCAUGUUUAGUGGAGUUUAUGUCUACAAAAUAUGGCUGACAUGUGCCGCAGGACUCUAGCAUGACAGUCCCACUGCUCGCUGCCGUGACGAGGAACCUAGUCUGUAGUUACCAGUGACUCACCAUUGGUGUCUGCUUUGACUUUCUCUUCCUUGAUCUGCAAACUGCUCAUCUGAGUAAGAAUAAAAGAAAACAGUAAGCCAAAGACCCAACCAAGGAAGGCAGCCGGAUGCCUGGUAAGAGGUUAGCGACACUACUGCAGAGCUGGCUGGGAGCGGGUUCGUUGUACUCAAUACAGAAGCACUAAGGGCCGGGCAUAACCAUCUCAUGUUUCCUUCCUCAGCAGCAGAAGCAGAGGAGGUGGGCAUGGGUUAACCAUGAUGCUAUGGGGACACAAACUUCAAAAAAACUUCAAACAUUUGCUUUUCUUCUAACUUACACUUUUUCUAGAAGGUCUCCAAGGUUCUGUUUGCUUGUCUGGGUUUGUGAAACCAGGGUCAAACCCUGGACACAAAACAAACUGGGUAACUGUGCUGCCACUAUGCCAUGUUCCAACCUCUUUAACCCCAAACUUAAAUAACAGCAAGUUAUCUAUCCUGCCUACCCAACCAAACACCUGCAUGUAAGUUAGGUUAAAAUGCAUCAUAAUAAGCUGAGGGCAGCUAAACAGGCCUUUAUCGAUAACAGUACUUGAGAGAUGGAGGCAGGAAGAUCAGAAGUUGAGGAUCAGGAUGAGACUUACGAAUUUCACAGUCAUAGUCAUAGGUAUUUUAAUAACAUAUAAUUGCUCAGAGUGUGGUCUGAAGGUGGUAUGACAAUCUUGAUUGUCAACUUGAUGGUACGUACAAUGGAAGACAAACUCCUGAAAGGUUAACCCGAGGUAGGAAGACCUACACUGUAAUUUGGGCAGCACCUUUCCCAGUCCAGGACUGAAUGAGGACUGAAUGAAGCAGCACCAGCAGCUCUCCUCCUGACUUGAGGAUACGGCGUGCUUUCCAGCACCAUGCCUUCCACCAUUACAGACCAUGUGCCCUUCUUAAAAUGGGAGCCAAAAAUACUAUGGGGGGGGGGCGGGGGGGGUUCCUAUGACAGGGCUCUCUGUAUAGCCUUGGGUGUUCUAGAACUCACCAGGUAGACCAGGCUGACCUCAAACUCAGAUAUCCACCUGCCUCUGCCUCCUGAGUGCUGGACUAAAGGCGUGCACCACCACUCUUAAACUCUUGUUCUUGUCAUGGAUUUGUAUCUUGCAUCAACAAAGACAAAUGCAACUACGACAAAUGAUUUAUGUUCCCAGAGCCCUGGGUCUGUCCCCCAGAUCCCUAAGUUAACAUCGUGGGUUACUGGUUUAGAGACAGGGUCUUGUACAUAGCCCUGGCUGUCCUUGAACUCAGAGAUCCACCUGCUUCAGCUUCCCAAGUGCUGAAAUUAAGUGUGAACCAACACACCUGUACUGGUGUGCUGGUACUCUUCCUAGAGGCACUGUACUGAUCUCGCUUGUACUUGACAGUGGUAUUGUCCCCCCAACUUGCCCUCUCUGACUGACCUACUGUAGGUCUUUGAGAAAUGGAGAUGCACACUCUCAUGUGUAUUACUGACUUCCUAUUGCUGUGACGAAACAGCAUAACCAGGACAACUUACAGAAGACUUCACUUGGGCUUGUGGUUCUACAGUUAUUCUAGGGAUAAGAGUCCACGAUGGCAGAGCAAAGGCACAGCAACUGAGAUCAGACGCUGAAGGCUCGAAUCUUUAACUGUAUCGAAAUAAGGCAAUUUCUGUUCACAAGGCCUGCCUCUAGGGACAUACUUCCUCCAGCAAAGCCAAAGCUCCUAAGACUCCCCAAACAGCAGCACCAACUGGGGACCAAGUGUUAAAAUGUCUAAGUCUACGGGGAACAUCUCAUCUAGACCACCACAACAGUAAAAGAGUUUAGGAGGGGCUGGUGAGAUGGCUCAGCAGGUAAGAGCACCCGACUGUUCUUCUGAAGGUCCUGAGUUCGGAUCCCAGCAACCACAUGGUGGCUCACAACCAUCCCUAAUGAGAUCUGACUCCCUCUUCUGGUGUGUCUGAAGACAGCUACAGUGUACUUGCAUAUAAUAAAUAAAUAAAUCUUUAAAAAAAAAAAAAAAAGAGUUUAGGAACCAGGUUUUCUAGAGAAAAAGCAGGUGAACACACUUUCUCCUUUAAUGGCAGAGAGGUCAUGAGAAAGCAAGCAGACCUGGGGAUGCAUCACACAGCAGAACUUUUCAUUGGUUGGUUAGUCCUCAUUUAUGCACAUGGAUCAGCAGAAAUAUACAUUGGAAUGGUCUGAACAUUUAAGACCAUCUGGAGUUUCCUAAUUCAACCACAUUAAAGUAGCCUCCAGAAGGCCUGAUGAAAGAAAACAAAACAAAACAAAAAAACCAAAAAAAAAACGAAGCAAGUCCAUUAAACCAUGAUUGGUUACAAAUGUGUUAACACACAGCUCUCUCGAGAGUGAAGAGUAACCCAUAGCUAGGAACGGCCAGUCAAUAAACAGCCUGGCAUCCUUUGUUCUGGAUUCACUGGCCACACACAGACCCUGAUGAUUAAUCCUGCCUCUCUGAACAGGAAAUGUUCACAACUCUGUGUGGUGAAUGGUAAGACAGGAAGAUUACUGGAUUCCAGGGGUUUGAAGCCAGUCUGGACAUCAAAGUGAGAUCCUCUUCUCAAAACAUGUAAUUACACCAGGCAUGGUGGCACACACCUGUAGUCCCAGCACUCAGGAGGCAGAGGCAGGUGCGUCUCUGAGUCUACAGAGCAAAUUCCAAGAUACCCAGGGCUACACACAGAAUUAAAUUGAAGAAAAAAAAUUCAGUCACUAUGUCUUAGGAAUAAUCACUAGAUUUGAAACUUCAGAUGGGGUUCAUAAGAUGGCCUGACAAACUGGAGGAAGAGAACCUACCCUCACAAGCUACCUCCUGACCUCCACACAUGAAUGCGGCACAUCCAUGUUCAAAAUACGAGGAUAUACACAAAGCAAAUCCAAAUAACUUUUAAAAACAAAGAAUAAGGAGAGCUUCUUAAGAAAAUCAACUGCUGGAUCACAGGGCUCCCAAUGGAGGAGCUAGAGAAAGUACCCAAGGAGCUAAAGGGAUCUUCAACCCUAUAGGU